Molecule: non-coding RNA, 413 nt
Filed under: Staphylococcus capitis
Lineage: Bacteria; Bacillati; Bacillota; Bacilli; Caryophanales; Staphylococcaceae
Description: T-box sequence
Rfam family: T-box leader
About the family: Uncharged tRNA acts as the effector for transcription antitermination of genes in the T-box leader family. T-boxes are found upstream of many aminoacyl-tRNA synthetase genes and some amino acid biosynthetic genes usually in Gram-positive bacteria.
Source: RNAcentral
UUACACACUAUAAAAAGGAAAGUAGAACUUACACUGCUUUUACAGAGAGUCUUCGUUAGCUGAGAGAAGGUAUUGAAAGAAAGUUUGAAAAUGGCCUUGGAGUGUUGAUGCCAAUAUGAGGUAUCAACGGGUUCGCCCGUUAUAGCGAUACAGUAUUAACAUUGUAGUUGAAUGGCGUACUGGAAUUCAUUACCAUCGUCACAACGUAUCGUUAAUACUCAUUUAUUCUUCCUAAGACUAAAUGAGUUUUUUAUUUGGCUCAAUGAUUUAACAUAACGAUAAUGCUUGUGAUUAAAGUUAACACUUCCAUAAAUAGACGUUGUUCAAACAUAAUGGCGUACUGGUAGAGGUCACUUUAGCAAUAAAGUGACAAACAAAGGUGGUACCGCGAAACUUAAGCUUUCGUCCUUUAC